GACGAACGCUGGCGGCGUGCCUAAUACAUGCAAGUUGAGCGCUGAAGGCUGGUACUUGUACCAACUGGAUGAGCAGCGAACGGGUGAGUAACGCGUGGGGAAUCUGCCUUUGAGCGGGGGACAACAUUUGGAAACGAAUGCUAAUACCGCAUAAAAACUUUAAACACAAGUUUUAAGUUUGAAAGAUGCAAUUGCAUCACUCAAAGAUGAUCCCGCGUUGUAUUAGCUAGUUGGUGAGGUAAAGGCUCACCAAGGCGAGGAUACAUAGCCGACCUGAGAGGGUGAUCGGCCACAUUGGGACUGAGACACGGCCCAAACUCCUACGGGAGGCAGCAGUAGGGAAUCUUCGGCAAUGGACGAAAGUCUGACCGAGCAACGCCGCGUGAGUGAAGAAGGUUUUCGGAUCGUAAAACUCUGUUGGUAGAGAAGAACGUUGGUGAGAGUGAAAGCUCAUCAAGUGACGGUAACUACCCAGAAAGGGACGGCUAACUACGUG
RNAcentral lists this ribosomal RNA (496 nucleotides) under uncultured bacterium. RNAcentral describes it as "partial 16S ribosomal RNA". It matches the Rfam family "Bacterial small subunit ribosomal RNA", at positions 28 to 507 of the family's 1533-position model. The record is from RNAcentral.